GCAAGGCAAUCUAUCCGCCCUUAUUCCAACUCCAACGAUUCUGCCGAGUUGACAUCGGUGAGAAUUGAAUUCAGGUCGCUGGAAUAAUUACCGCACAGCAAUUUAUCCGACGCUCUAAUGAUCCUACCAAUUGACCGCCUAAAUAAGAAAAAAAGGAUCAGCAGUAUUUUUAUGUAUACACAGUGUACACAUAAAAAGUCUUGAUUAAUCGAAGUGUCCAUCGCUUGCUGGGGAAGAAAAACAAAGACCUAGUGACUACUGUUAAAGCUCUCAAAAAAAUAAAUAAACGGAGGGCUGAGAUAAUUUCAAGAAACCAAGUAUUAAUUUCUAAAUUAAUUCAGAUGCUCCGACAAAAAGGACGAUGUUUGUUUACAUGUUAGGGAGAGCUCUGGACAUUUUUCGCUCAAUUAAACCUCGUCACCACAGUAGAGUCUAACCAAGCCUGCAGGCCAUUCAUUAGAUUUUUUCAUACAGAAGAUAAAAGCAACGAAUAAUUUUUUGGCCAAAAUAGUUUCGAUAAUUCAUGGCGCUCAUUGUUAAUAUUAGUUUUUCCUGGCUCAAGGAAAAAUUUGAGCGCAAACCCACAAGUUAACGAAACAUUUGUCAACAAAAUCCUUAGAAUAGUUGGCAUAACUGGUCCUGCUGUAUUUACUUGCUGACCUUUUACGCUGUACGUUCAAAUUCCGUGGUGAUCACCCUUUCGAUGUCAAUAAAACAAAGUAGCAGUCAAGUACUGGAGCUAAUUUACUUGACGGUUAUCUCCCAAAAUUUCGAUCUUCUGGUACCUGUUUCAAAUCAGUUAUACUGAGCUUCCGAUGGCCCUGAAAGCUCUUCUUUAAAAUAUUUUCUCCAAAAUAUUUCUUCUUUGAUUUAGCAUGUAUUUACAACUAAGGUGAAUGAAUCACUGAUAGUUUAAGUAUUUAUAUGGAGACAAUACGAACUGCCAACCUUUUGAUCAGAAGAGCAGUAAUUCAUCUUAAUGUAACUAACUGUGAAUCUAGUCACAUGUCUCUAUGGUUAAGAAGCUUAUUUCACAACUCUGUGGCCCCACUAAGGUUAAAUUAGGUAACCACGGACCGAACAAAGCCUUGUACGUAAAAUUAGAUCAAUGGAAACAGAAAGGAAACUUGUUGCAUCAAAUGAACAAGUCUUUGGAUGGUCGGCUUAAUUUGGUGCUCUGUUUGAUAAUACUAUCUCAACCUUGGGUGCCUCUCACAGAAUAUAUUCUGUUGCAAACGUCUUCUCCAGUCUAUGAAAACUCCAUAUCUUGAUGUGUCAUCUCCUCCUCCUUCCCAUCCUACUUUCAUUCUUUCUUUCAACCCACGAGUCAUGGUUUCUUCCUGCCUUUCCUCUUAACAUCCCCGGAAGCUCUAGAAAAGGUCAUGGACGCUACUUUUUCUCCUCCAAGCGAUAAAACAUAGCCAUGAGUGAAUAACAUGACAAAUAUGAAAGAAUUAAACAAAAUCCACACACUUUAGAACAGAAAUGAUAUUCAAUGCUCUAUAGUUUUGGAUAUCGUUUUCUGACAUUUAUGAUGUCUUUUCAUUUUCCGGACGAAACUACGCGAAACUUCUCAGGAACAAAACACUUGAAUGUUGAUGCUUCAUUACGUUUUAUGCCUAACUAUUCAUCGAAUGUUUAACUGAGAUGGCAAAACUUUGUUAAAAUUGGAGAAAAUAUUAUUAUUAUUAUUAUUAUUAUUAUUAUUAUUAUUAUUAUUAAUUUUAUUGCAGAACAAGAAAGUUUUCCACUUCAUAUAUGUCCGCAAGGUAACUUGAUAAAUUUAUCUCUCAAUUCAAUAUCUAUUAACGAUUCAAUAUGUCUGUCAUGUUACCUUAGCGCUAUGUCGUUUAUAGCAAUUUUACUGAUAGUCUUGUGUUGGCGAGGUGGAGGCGUAUGUAAGGUACUGGGGAAAUAGACUCUUUAAGAAAAGGAACUUAAUCUGGUUUCUUCCUUUUGCUACAGUUUUCUGAGUUACUCGUCAUAGAAAUGUGUCAUGCAUUACAGUCGAAGAUAUCUGCUAGCUUAUCUCAACCUCAUCACUCUUCCUCAAUAAGAACGUUGAAUCUAUCUUGAGUUUUAUUCAUAUGAAGAUUUAGACACUGCACAACAAGUUAAUGUAACAUUUAUUAUCAUACUGUCAGGAAUAUAAUAUAUCGUGUUUGUAGUGAGGCCGACUAGUGAUAUAUGGGUAAGAUUUAACUAAUAUACUCAAGGUAUAUACCGUAAUAAGAAAAACAUUAUCAGCGUUAAUGACUAGUUUUGUCAAAGUAUACAAGGGAAAGAACUCUGAAAUUUAAAUUGAUUAAGAAUUAAAUGGAAACAAGGAAGUGAGAAGUGAGUCUAGUCUUUGAAUGCUUGUGAAGAGGGAUAUAGUUUUGCGUGAGAAAUUAUCCAGUAAUUAAACAAUUCAGGACUAAAAAACUGGAAAUUUUACCAGGAAUGCCAUCUGCUUGAAGAACAUGUAGUCAAGUGUGGGCUAAAAUCCUUAAUGCCGUGAACCAAGAGAUGUGCCUUUGCUCAGAUCCGAGUAAAUAUGUUAAAAGACUGAGAACAGAUGUAACACGCGUAUCCCAUUUGAACCGGCAAUAUGUGGAAGGCCUAGUGCAAAAGAUAUGCAUUCAUUUAAAUCUACGCCUUAAGCAUUUUAGUAAACAGUGUUGAAUACAUUUGAUUUAUGUAUGCGUUAGAGUUAUAUGUACAUGAAGAGCAUAUGUUGUAGCAGGACAGAAUAAAAGAACUAGAGUAAUUUAGAAAAAGUAUAUAAUUCUUUAACAAUGGGUACUUUUGGGGCGUCUUACAAGAGUAAUAGGUCUCUUCAGAAUCAUAAAUCCAUGCCAACUAAUCUAUCUGCCCCACUUCUGAUCUGCCCUGCUUUCGCCACGGAUACACUCUUCCAUCAUUUAGCUAGUACAUCAUUAGUCUCAAGACUCAUUCAGUCGUUCUCACUUCGAGCAGGACACGUUACAAUUAUUUUUAUCUUCACUUCGUCAGAGCUGAAAAAGUUUGGAUUUAAUAUUUGUCUUUUAAGAUGUAAAUUGUCAAUAUGAAAUCCUUCAUGGUCAAAUAAGACAUCCGUCUGACGAUUGAUGCCUCUGUAUGAUGAGUUUAGUGUGGAAAGCCCAGCACAUGAAAGAUCAUAACUGAAACCUCUGCCAUUGUCUUCACAUCUUCUGGAGCAUCCUUUUCCAUUUUCUGAGAUUUCCUUGAAGCAUGGCUCAGUGGUUAAAGCGUCGGGCUCACAAUCAUGAGGUUGUGUUCGAUUCCCAGGCCGGAUUGUCAGUUGUGUUCUUGAGCAAGAGACUUUAUUUCACGUUGCUCCAGUUCACUCAGUUGUAGAAAUGAGUUGUGACGUCACUGGUGUCAAACUGUGUCGGUCGUUGCCUUUCCCUAGGAGAACACCAGUGGCGUGGGUAGGGGAGACUGGUAUGCAUGAGUGACUACUGGUAUUCCACAAAAACAACCUUGCUCGGACUUGUGUUUCGGGAGGGAACUUUCUAAGGGCAAUCACAUGGUCAGUCAUGACCGAAAGGGGCCUUGCCUAACACCUCCCUCACUAUUGUAUGCGACUUCCUUUUCCCACUGACUGAAACUUCAUUGUUUAAGAGACUCCUUUUUUCUAUUUUCUGAUACUCUUCUUGUCUAGUAAUCUGAAAAUGCCCACUUUUUCUUAUUUUCUAAGACUUUCUUUUUCCCAUUGUCUGAGAAUCCCUUUUGCCCAUUGUCUAAAACUCUUUUACUGUUGUCUGAGACUUUCUUUUCCCAUUAUCUGAGACAUCACUUUCUUGUUGUCUGAGGCCCCUCUCUUUUCAUUGUUUUUAGACUCACCUUUUCCAAAAACUGGGACACCUGUUGUCUGAGGCACCCACUUUCCCAUUAUAUGAUGCUUUUAUUCGCAGGAAGAUUUUAAAACAUCUGUCAAGUUCACGAAAAACUAAUCAAUUUCACAGAGUUGAUGGAGUAUAUAACGAUCAGCCGUUUAUACUUUACAAUGCAUACAUGCAUCAAGAUGGACAUCUAAGAGUCAAUUAUCCGAACUACGAACAUAAGACAAUACCAGUGAGAGGAUAUACAUCACUCACCACUCGUUCGGUUGUGCACUCCCCUACUAACUUCGCCAUCCACGCUUUCAGUCUGCAAAUAACCGCUGAUUAUUUGUUGGCCGAUUAAUGUGUGCUUAUCUAGUUUUUCAGUGUCUGGGAGAAAAUCACAUCCCAAAUCUAAAAUACAUCACAAAUCUAAAACACCCACAGCUUUUGAUAAGCUGUCUCGUCAUAAAAGAUUGCGUAAGGUUAGUCUUAUGUAACCAUUUUGUAACCGUCACAGAAACACGUGUAAAGACGUUUAUAAGUAAAUAAUUUCAAAUAAUAUUCUUAGUAUCCUUACUCUGUGACCAUUAUACCCAGCAAACCUGUAACAUGAAAUUUCGCUAUUUCACUAUAUCGCUAUAAUAAUACAAACUUCCUUCCUAGGCAUCUGUUUUACAGUACCAUGUAUUAUGUGAAAUUCUAGCUCAAUGGUUAUGCAACUCUAAUAGGCAUAUAUAUAUA
This 4550-nucleotide long non-coding RNA is filed under the name Octopus vulgaris (common octopus). The record is from RNAcentral. Lineage: Eukaryota; Metazoa; Mollusca; Cephalopoda; Octopoda; Octopodidae.